Esox lucius (northern pike) is the source of this 1525-nucleotide long non-coding RNA. The record is from Ensembl. Lineage: Eukaryota; Metazoa; Chordata; Actinopteri; Esociformes; Esocidae.
CUACAGCUGCUCCAACAACCACUACAGAGUCUCCAACAACCACUACAGAGGCUACAACCACAACUACAGCUGCCCCAACUACAACUACAGUUGCUGCAACAACCACUACAGAGUCUCCAACAAUAACGACAGAGGCUAUAACCACAACUACAGCUGUCGCAACCACUACUACAGUUACUCCAACAACCACUACAGAGUCUCCAACAACGACUACAGAGGCUACAACCACAACUACAGCUGCCCCAACUACAACUACAGCUGCUGCAACAACUACAGAGUAUCCAACAACCACUACAGAGGCUACAACCACAACUACAGCUGCCCCAACUACUACUACAGCUGCUCCAACAACCACUACAGAGUCUCCAACAACAACAACAGAGGCUACAACCACAACUACAGCUGUCGCAACUACUACUACAUCUGCUCCAACAACGACUACAGAGGCUCCAACAACCACUACAGAGGCUACAACCACAACUACAGCAGUCGCAACCACUACUACAGCUGCUCCAACAACCACUACAGAAUCUCCAACAACCACUACAGAGGCUACCACCACAACUACAGCAGUCGCAACCACUACUACAGCUGCUCCAACAACCACUACAGAGUCUCCAACAACCACUACAGAGGCUACAACCACAACUACAGCUGUCGCAACCACUACUACAGCUGCUCCAACAACCACUACAGAGUCUCCAACAACAACAACAGAGGCUACAACCACAACUACAGUUGUCGCAACUACUACUACAGCAGCUCCAACAACCACUACAGAGUCUCCAACAACCACUACAGAGGAUACAACCACAACUACAGCAGUCGCAACCACUACUACAGCUGCUCCAACAACCACUACAGAGUCUCCAACAACCACUACAGAGGCUACAACCACAACUACAGCUAUCGCAACCACUACUGCAGUUACUCCAACAACCACUGCAGAGUCUCCAACAACGACUACAGAGGCUACAACCACAACUACAGCUGCCCCAACUACAACAACAGUUGCUGCAACAACAACAACAGAGUCUCCAACAACAACGACUACAGAGGCUACAACCACAAGUACAGCUGUCGCAAUCACUACUACAGUUACUCCAACAACCACUACAGAGUCUCCAACAACGACUACAGAGGCAACAACCACAACUACAGCUGCCCCAACUACAACUACAGCUGCUGCAACAACUACAGAGUCUCCAACAACAACAACAGAGGCUACAACCACAACUACAGUUGUCGCAACUACUACUACAGCUGCUCCAACAACCACUACAGAGUCUCCAACAACCACUACAGAGGCUACAACCACAACUACAGCUGUCGCAACUACUACUACGGCUGCUCCAACAACCACUACAGAGGCUACAACAACAACGACAGAGGCUACAACCACAACUACAGCUGUCGCAACCACUACUACAGCUGCUCCAACAACCACUACAGAGUCUCCAACAACAACAACAGAGGCUACAACCACAACUACAGUUGUCGCAACUACUACUACAGCAGCUCCAAC